UGUAUUUAUUAGAUAAAAAACCAACGCCCUUCGGGGCUCCUUGGUGAAUCAUAAUAACUUAACGAAUCGCAUGGCCUUGCGCCGGCGAUGGUUCAUUCAAAUUUCUGCCCUAUCAACUUUCGAUGGUAGGAUAGUGGCCUACCAUGGUGGCAACGGGUAACGGGGAAUUAGGGUUCGAUUCCGGAGAGGGAGCCUGAGAAACGGCUACCACAUCCAAGGAAGGCAGCAGGCGCGCAAAUUACCCAAUCCCGAUACGGGGAGGUAGUGACAAUAAAUACUGAUACGGGGCUCUUUCGGGUCUCGUAAUUGGAAUGAGAACAAUUUAAAUCCCUUAACGAGGAACAAUUGGAGGGCAAGUCUGGUGCCAGCAGCCGCGGUAAUUCCAGCUCCAAUAGCGUAUAUUAAAGUUGUUGCAGUUAAAAAGCUCGUAGUUGAACCUUGGGUCUGGCUGGCCGGUCCGCCUCACCGCGAGUACUGGUCCGGCCGGACCUUUCCUUCUGGGGAACCUCAUGGCCUUCACUGGCUGUGGGGGGAACCAGG
RNAcentral lists this ribosomal RNA (540 nucleotides) under uncultured eukaryote. RNAcentral's name for it is "SSU rRNA". It matches the Rfam family "Eukaryotic small subunit ribosomal RNA", at positions 202 to 747 of the family's 1831-position model. The record is from RNAcentral.